This 72-nucleotide transfer RNA is filed under the name Ictidomys tridecemlineatus (thirteen-lined ground squirrel). Its description in RNAcentral is "Spermophilus tridecemlineatus (thirteen-lined ground squirrel) tRNA". It matches the Rfam family "tRNA". From Rfam's summary of the family: Transfer RNA (tRNA) molecules are approximately 80 nucleotides in length. Their secondary structure includes four short double-helical elements and three loops (D, anti-codon, and T loops). Lineage: Eukaryota; Metazoa; Chordata; Mammalia; Rodentia; Sciuridae. The record is from Rfam by way of RNAcentral.
GGGGUUGUGGCUCAGUGGUAGAGCGCUUGCCUAGCAUGUGUGAGGCACGGGGUUUGACUCUCAGCACCACCU